GAGAAGUGCUUUAGCAAUAAGAACCCGGUGACAGGUGCUGCAUGGCUGUCGUCAGCUCGUGUCGUGAGAUGUUGGGUUAAGUCCCGCAACGAGCGCAACCCUUGUCCUUAGUUGCCAUCAUUUAGUUGGGCACUCUAAGGAGACUGCCGGUGUUAAACCGGAGGAAGGUGGGGAUGACGUCAAGUCCUCAUGGCCCUUAUGUCCAGGGCUACACACGUGCUACAAUGGCCGGUACAAAGGGCAGCAAAGCCGCGAGGUGGAGCCAAUCCCAGAAAGCCGGUCUCAGUUCGGAUUGGAGUCUGCAACUCGACUCCAUGAAGUUGGAAUCGCUAGUAAUCGCGGAUCAGCAUCGCCGCCGGUCGAUACGUUCCGGCCUU
Molecule: ribosomal RNA, 377 nt
Filed under: uncultured Desulfuromonas sp.
Lineage: Bacteria; Pseudomonadati; Thermodesulfobacteriota; Desulfuromonadia; Desulfuromonadales; Desulfuromonadaceae
Description: bacterial SSU rRNA
Rfam family: Bacterial small subunit ribosomal RNA
Source: RNAcentral